UACGGAAGGCAGCAGUGGGGAAUAUUGCACAAUGGGCGAAAGCCUGAUGCAGCUAUGCCGCGUGUAUGAAGAAGGCCUUAGGGUUGUAAAGUACUUUCAUCGGGGAGGAAAAAACAAAACUAAUAAUUUUAUUUCUUGACGUUACCCGAAAAAGAAGCACCGGCUAACUCCGUGCCAGCAGCCGCGGUAAUACGGAGGGUGCUAGCGUUAAUCAGAAUUACUGGGCGUAAAGAGCACGUAGGUGGUUUUUUUAAGUCAGAUGUGAAAUCCCUGGGCUUAACCUAGGAACUGCAUUUUGAAACUGAAAUACUAGAGUAUCGUAGAGGGAGGUAGAAUUCUAGGUGUAGCGGUGAAAUGCGUAGAUAUCUGGAGGAAUACCUGUGGCGAAAGCGGCCUCCUAAACGAAUACUGACACUGAGGUGCGAAAGCGUGGGGAGCAAAACAGGGAUUAAUACC
This 456-nucleotide ribosomal RNA is filed under the name uncultured bacterium. RNAcentral describes it as "bacterial SSU rRNA". It matches the Rfam family "Bacterial small subunit ribosomal RNA", at positions 340 to 786 of the family's 1533-position model. The record is from RNAcentral.